This 520-nucleotide ribosomal RNA is filed under the name bacterium enrichment culture clone Pav-FEB-Bd26-C2. RNAcentral's name for it is "bacterial SSU rRNA". It matches the Rfam family "Bacterial small subunit ribosomal RNA", at positions 8 to 524 of the family's 1533-position model. The record is from RNAcentral.
AGAGUUUGAUCCUGGCUCAGGACGAACGCUGGCGGCGUGCUUAACACAUGCAAGUCGAACGGUGAAGGGAGCUUGCUCCCGGAUCAGUGGCGAACGGGUGAGUAACACGUGAGCAACCUACCCUUGACUCUGGGAUAACAGUUGGAAACAGCUGCUAAUACCGGAUACGACCACGGCGGGCAUCUGCUGGGGUGGAAAGCUCCGACGGUCAAGGAUGGGCUCGCGGCCUAUCAGCUUGUUGGUGAGGUGACGGCUCACCAAGGCGACGACGGGUAGCCGGCCUGAGAGGGCGACCGGCCACACUGGGACUGAGAUACGGCCCAGACUCCUACGGGAGGCAGCAGUGGGGAAUAUUGCACAAUGGGCGAAAGCCUGAACCUGCGACGCCGCGUGAGUGAUGAAGGUCGUAAGAUCGUAAAACUCUUUUCAGGGACCUGAAAGGCAGCGCUCUAACAGAGCGUCUGCUGUGACUAUCCCUGGAAUAAGCCCCAGCUAACUACGUGCCAGCAGCCGCGGUAAU